AACGAACGCUGGCGGCAUGCCUAACACAUGCAAGUCGAACGAGACCUUCGGGUCUAGUGGCGCACGGGUGCGUAACGCGUGGGAACCUGCCCUUAGGUUCGGAAUAACUCUCUGAAAGGGGUGCUAAUACCGGAAAAUGUCUUCGGAUCACAGAUUUAUCGUAUUUGGAUGCGCCCGCGUUGUAUUAGCUAGUUGGUAGGGUAAAAGCCUACCAAGGCGACGAUACAUAGCUGGUCUGAGAGGAUGAGCAGCCACACUGGGACUAGGACACGGCCCAGACUCCUACGGGAGGCAGCAGUGGGGAAUAUUGGACAAUCGGCUAAAUCCUGAUCCAGCUAUGCCGCGUGAGUGAUGAAGGCCUUAGAGUUGUAAAGCUCUUUUACCCGGGAUGAUAAUGACAGUACCGAGAGAAUAAGCACCGGCUAACUCCGUG
RNAcentral lists this ribosomal RNA (433 nucleotides) under uncultured bacterium. RNAcentral's name for it is "partial 16S ribosomal RNA". It matches the Rfam family "Bacterial small subunit ribosomal RNA", at positions 29 to 507 of the family's 1533-position model. The record is from RNAcentral.